RNAcentral lists this non-coding RNA (98 nucleotides) under human gut metagenome. Its description in RNAcentral is "Glycine riboswitch". It matches the Rfam family "Glycine riboswitch aptamer", at positions 8 to 87 of the family's 94-position model. Rfam says of the family: This family represents the bacterial glycine riboswitch. Glycine riboswitches usually consist of two metabolite-binding aptamers domains with similar structures in tandem. The record is from RNAcentral.
ACUCUCUGGAGACACCCGGACAGGAAGAGCCGGGGGCCGAAGGUGCAACAUGUGCAUUUUUUAUGUACAGGAAUCUCUCAGGCAAGCGGACAGAGAAG